This 300-nucleotide ribosomal RNA is filed under the name uncultured Bacillus sp. RNAcentral's name for it is "bacterial SSU rRNA". The stretch from base 57 to 300 matches the Rfam family "Bacterial small subunit ribosomal RNA", at positions 552 to 795 of the family's 1533-position model. The record is from RNAcentral. Lineage: Bacteria; Bacillati; Bacillota; Bacilli; Caryophanales; Bacillaceae.
GGAAAUAACGGGGCUAGGGGCGCGGGAAGGCGGAGGGGGGGAGAGGGAAUGAGAGGUACAGGGCGCAAAGGGUGCGCAGGCGGAACGUGAAGGCAGGAGUGCAAUCCCAGGGCUUAACGGGGGAAGGGUGCGGGAAAGUACGGUGGUGGAGUAAGGCAGAGGGAGGUAGGAUUCGACGAGGAGCGGUGAAAUGCGUAGGGAUGAGGAUGAACGCCGAUGGAGAAGGCAGCCUCCUGGGCGAAUACUGACGCUCAUGCACGAAAGCGUGGGGAGCAAACAGGAUUAGAUACCCCAGUAGUC